AUACGGAGGGAGCAAGCGUUAUUCGGAAUUACUGGGCGUAAAGGGUGCGUAGGCGGCUUGAUAAGUCGGAUGUGAAAGCCCCGGGCUUAACCUGGGAAUUGCAUUCGAUACUGUCAGGCUAGAGUAUGUCAGAGGUUGGCGGAAUUCCUGGUGUAGCGGUGAAAUGCGUAGAUAUCAGGAGGAACACCAGUGGCGAAGGCGGCUAACUGGGGCAAUACUGACGCUGAGGCACGAAAGCGUGGGGAGCAAACAGGAUUAGAUACCCUAGUAGUCC
This 274-nucleotide ribosomal RNA is filed under the name uncultured bacterium. Its description in RNAcentral is "partial 16S ribosomal RNA". It matches the Rfam family "Bacterial small subunit ribosomal RNA", at positions 523 to 796 of the family's 1533-position model. The record is from RNAcentral.